This is a long non-coding RNA of Cyprinus carpio (common carp), 680 nucleotides long. RefSeq lists it as uncharacterized. The transcript is spliced from 3 exons. The record is from RefSeq and is a predicted model, not a curated record. Lineage: Eukaryota; Metazoa; Chordata; Actinopteri; Cypriniformes; Cyprinidae.
CAUUAAAUCUCUCCGAAAAUUAUCUAAAAAUGUAACUAAUCAUUGCAGGUUUUACUGCUUCUGGGCUUCGUAAUCUAAAAAUGCUCUUCAAAAAUGUCCCUCUCUCCUUUCUUUCAAUUUUUUUUAUUUUUUUUUUAAGAAAGGAAGUCUUUCAUCUUGCUGACCAAGUUGCUGACUGAAAUAAGCGAGUGUGCGUGUGUGUGUGUGUGUGACCGUGCGCACCAGCGACUCUCUCACAGCCUGUGUGUGAAGCCGAGGACUCGGAUCGCGCUCCGCCAGCAGCCUCGCGUUGCUCUCAUUUGAGCACGCAGCUCACAGCACACGCACACACACUUUCUCUCUCCCCUUCUCCUCUUUUUCUCCUGCAUUCAGACUCCAAGCGAGAUGGGAUUUAACACACGCGGCUAACUGCGGAGGACGUCCCGAGCCACUAAAAACGCGAGGUCAAGCUAACCCAAAAAAAUCCUUACGAGGGAAGUAUUUGACUGAGGAAGGACAAAAAAUGCUUGGAAGCCAGAUGGAUGUUUCUCCUAGCUGCUCCCGCAGACAGGAAUCCGCUCGCAGAAACGAGAGCCACGCUCUCCCCUAGGAGAGGAGUACAAAGGCCAGUCUGCACGCAGCAGAUGCAAAACCAAGUCCAUCUGCUGCAAGCUUCCAAUUCGCAUUCGCGUAGAUGCCGC